Molecule: ribosomal RNA, 1245 nt
Filed under: metagenome
Description: bacterial LSU rRNA
Rfam family: Bacterial large subunit ribosomal RNA
Source: RNAcentral
UGAAUACGAGACGCUAAGGCGUCGAAGUAGUGUAUGUCAUACUUCCAAGAAAAGCUUGCACUGUCAUAGAUAAAAAACGCCUGUACCAUAACCGACACAGGUGGGUAGGUAGAGUAUACUAAGGGGCGCGAGAUAACUCUCUCUAAGGAACUCGGCAAAAUAACUCCGUAACUUCGGGAGAAGGAGUGCCUUAUUCGUAAGGUUGCAAUAACAAGAUCCAAGCAACUGUUUAUCAAAAACACAGGUCUCCGCUAAGUCGUAAGACGAUGUAUGGGGGCUGACGCCUGCCCAGUGCCAGAAGGUUAAAGAAGUUGGUUAGCAAUUGCGAAGCUGAUAACUGAAGCCCUGGUGAACGGCGGCCGUAACGAUAACGGUCCUAAGGUAGCGAAAUUCCUUGUCGGGUAAGUUCCGACCCGCACGAAAGGCGUAAUGAUUUGGAUACUGUCUCGGAGAGGGGCUCGGUGAAAUAGACUUGUCUGUGAAGAUGCGGACUACCUGCACCAGGACAGAGAGACCCUAUGAAGCUUUACUGUAACUUGAAAUUGAAAUUGGACUUUAUUCGCGCAGUAUAGGUGGGAGGCGUUGAUUAUAAUCUUGUGGGAUUAUUGGAGCCAUCAGUGAGAUACCACUCUUGUAAUGUUAAAUUUCUAACUUUGAAUCAUUAUCUGGUCAAAGAACAGUUUCAGGCGGGCAGUUUGACUGGGGCGGUCGCCUCCUAAACGGUAACGGAGGCGUACAAAGGUUUCCUCUGAACGGUUAGAAAUCGUAUCUAGAGUGUAAAGGCAUAAGGAAGCUUGACUGUGAGACCUACAAGUCGAGCAGGGACGAAAGUCGGUCUUAGUGAUCUGACGGUACUGAGUGGAAAGGCCGUCACUCAACGGAUAAAAGUUACUCUAGGGAUAACAGGCUGAUCUCCCCCAAGAGUUCACAUCGACGGGGAGGUUUGGCACCUCGAUGUCGGCUCAUCGCAUCCUGGGGCGGUAGUACGUCCCAAGGGUUGGGCUGUUCGCCCAUGAAAGCGGUACGCGAGCUGGGUUCAGAGCGUCGUGAGACAGUUCGGUCCAUAUCCGGUGUAGGCGUUAGAAUAUUGAGAGGAGCCUUCUUUAGUACGAGAGGACCGAGAAGGACAUACCUCUGGUGUACCAGUUAUCGUGCCAACGGUAAACGCUGGGUAGCUAUGUAUGGAGUGGAUAACCGCUGAAAGCAUCUAAGUGGGAAGCCCACCUCAAGAUAAGUAUUCUCAUC